This 380-nucleotide ribosomal RNA is filed under the name uncultured eukaryote. RNAcentral describes it as "SSU rRNA". It matches the Rfam family "Eukaryotic small subunit ribosomal RNA", at positions 587 to 972 of the family's 1831-position model. The record is from RNAcentral.
AGCUCCAAUAGUGUAUAUUAAAGUUGUUGUGGUUAAAAAGCUCGUAGUUGGAUUUCUGCUUGAGUCUUCUGGUCCGUCCUCUGGGCGCGCAUCUGGUUUGGCUUGGGCAUCAUCUUGGGGAACAUUGCUACACUUGAUUGUGUGGUGUGGAAUCCAGGACAUUUACUUUGAGGAAAUUAGAGUGUUUCAAGCAGGCAUUUGCCUUGAAUACAUUAGCAUGGAAUAAUAAUAUAUGACCUUGUUUCUUUUUAUUGGUUUCUAGAGACAAGGUAAUGAUUAAUAGGGAUAGUUGGGGGCAUUCGUAUUUAACUGUCAGAGGUGAAAUUCUUGGAGUAGUUAAAGACGGACUACGGCGAAAGCAUUUGCCAAGGGUGUCUUCA